UAAAGUACAAGGGAGUGAACCACCUGAUCCCUUCCCGAACUCAGAAGUGAAACCUCUUAGCGCUGAUGGUAGUGUGGGAUUACCCAUGUGAGAGUAAGUCAUCGC
This 105-nucleotide ribosomal RNA is filed under the name Acinetobacter baumannii. Lineage: Bacteria; Pseudomonadati; Pseudomonadota; Gammaproteobacteria; Moraxellales; Moraxellaceae. The record is from RNAcentral.